AUGGCUCAGGAUGAACGCUAGCUACAGGCUUAACACAUGCAAGUCGCGGGGCAGCGAGGGGUUAGCUCGCUAACCCUGUCGGCGACCGGCGCACGGGUGAGUAACGCGUAUCCAACCUUCCCCCUAGUAGGGCAUAGCCCGGCGAAAGUCGGAUUAAUACCCUAUGUUGUAUAUUGAGGACAUCUGAUUUAUACCAAAGAUUGAUCGCUAGGGGAUGGGGAUGCGUCCGAUUAGGUAGUCGGCGGGGUAACGGCCCACCGAGCCUUCGAUCGGUAGGGGUUCUGAGAGGAAGGUCCCCCACACUGGUACUGAGACACGGACCAGACUCCUACGGGAGGCAGCAGUGAGGAAUAUUGGUCAAUGGGCGCAAGCCUGAACCAGCCAAGUAGCGUGCAGGACGACGGCCCUAUGGGUUGUAAACUGCUUUUAUGCGGGGAUAAAGUUCGCCACGUGUGGCGUUUUGCAGGUACCGCAUGAAUAAGGACCGGCUAAUUCCGUGCCAGCCGCGGC
This 510-nucleotide ribosomal RNA is filed under the name uncultured bacterium. RNAcentral's name for it is "bacterial SSU rRNA". It matches the Rfam family "Bacterial small subunit ribosomal RNA", at positions 19 to 518 of the family's 1533-position model. The record is from RNAcentral.